UGGUGGAGUGAUUUGUCUGGUUAAUUCCGUUAACGAACGAGACCUCGACCUGCUAAAUAGUUCGGUGAAUCUUCUGAUUCAUACGUGACUUCUUAGAGGGACUCUCGGUGCGUAGCCGAUGGAAGUUCGAGGCAAUAACA
This 140-nucleotide ribosomal RNA is filed under the name uncultured eukaryote. Its description in RNAcentral is "partial 18S ribosomal RNA". It matches the Rfam family "Eukaryotic small subunit ribosomal RNA", at positions 1299 to 1458 of the family's 1831-position model. The record is from RNAcentral.